This 302-nucleotide ribosomal RNA is filed under the name uncultured bacterium. RNAcentral describes it as "partial 16S ribosomal RNA". It matches the Rfam family "Bacterial small subunit ribosomal RNA", at positions 508 to 807 of the family's 1533-position model. The record is from RNAcentral.
GCAGCCGCCGCGGGAAUACGGAGGGUGCAAGCGUUAAUCGGAAUUACUGGGCGUAAAGCGCACGCAGGCGGUCUGUCAAGUCAGAUGUGAAAUCCCCGGGCUUAACCUGGGAACUGCAUUUGAAACUGGCAGGCUAGAGUCUUGUAGAGGGGGGUAGAAUUCCAGGUGUAGCGGUGAAAUGCGUAGAGAUCUGGAGGAAUACCGGUGGCGAAGGCGGCCCCCUGGACAAAGACUGACGCUCAGGUGCGAAAGCGUGGGGAGCAAACAGGAUUAGAUACCCGCGUAGUCCCUGUCUCUUAUAC